UACGUAGGUGGCGAGCGUUGUCCGGAUUUACUGGGCGUAAAGGGAGCGUAGGCGGACUUUUAAGUGAGAUGUGAAAUACUCGGGCUCAACUUGAGUGCUGCAUUUCAAACUGGAAGUCUAGAGUGCAGGAGAGGAGAAUGGAAUUCCUAGUGUAGCGGUGAAAUGCGUAGAUAUAUGGAGGAACACCGGUGGCAAAAGCGGCUCUCUGGCCUGUAACUGACACUGAGGCUCGAAAGCGUGGGGAGCAAACAGG
Molecule: ribosomal RNA, 253 nt
Filed under: uncultured bacterium
Lineage: Bacteria
Description: partial 16S ribosomal RNA
Rfam family: Bacterial small subunit ribosomal RNA
Source: RNAcentral